CCUACGGGGGGCAGCAGUGGGGAAUAUUGCGCAAUGGGCGAAAGCCUGACGCAGCGACGCCGCGUGAGGGAUGAAGGUCUUCGGAUCGUAAACCUCUGUCAGCAGGGAAGAACGGUCACUGUGCUAAUCAGCAGUGAAUUGACGGUACCUGCAAAGGAAGCACCGGCUAACUCCGUGCCAGCAGCCGCGGUAAUACGGAGGGUGCGUGCGUUAAUCGGAUUUACUGGGCUUAAAGCGCGCGUAGGCGGUAUGUCAAGUCAAGUGUGAAAUCCCGGCGCUCAACGUGGGAACUGCCUUUGAAACUGGCAGACUGGAGUGUGGGAGAGGUUAGUGGAAUUCGAGGUGUAGGAGUGAAAUCCGUAGAUAUCUGGAGGAACAUCAGUGGCGAAGGCGACUAACUGGCACAUAACUGACGCUGAGGAGCGAAAGCGUGGGUAGCAAACAGGAUUAGAUACCCUUGUAGUC
RNAcentral lists this ribosomal RNA (465 nucleotides) under uncultured bacterium. RNAcentral's name for it is "partial 16S ribosomal RNA". It matches the Rfam family "Bacterial small subunit ribosomal RNA", at positions 338 to 795 of the family's 1533-position model. The record is from RNAcentral.